Molecule: non-coding RNA, 114 nt
Organism: Acanthosepion pharaonis
Lineage: Eukaryota; Metazoa; Mollusca; Cephalopoda; Sepiida; Sepiidae
Source: the annotation of a GenBank genome assembly
UUUCGGCCAUAUUACGUUGAAACACCGAUUCCUGUACAAUCACAGAAGUUAAGCAACGUUGAGGCAGGUCAGUACCGAGAUAGGUGACCGCUCGGGAAUACCAGGUGUUGUAAG